UACGUAGGGUGCAAGCGUUAAUCGGAAUUACUGGGCGUAAGCGUGCGCAGGCGGUUCUAUAAGACAGAUGUGAAAUCCCCGGGCUCAACCUGGGAACUGCAUUUGUGACUGUAGAGCUGGAGUGCGGCAGAGGGGGAUGGAAUUCCGCGUGUAGCAGUGAAAUGCGUAGAUAUGCGGAGGAACACCGAUGGCGAAGGCAAUCCCCUGGGCCUGCACUGACGCUCAUGCACGAAAGCGUGGGGAGCAAACAGG
Molecule: ribosomal RNA, 252 nt
Filed under: uncultured bacterium
Lineage: Bacteria
Description: partial 16S ribosomal RNA
Rfam family: Bacterial small subunit ribosomal RNA
Source: RNAcentral